CGGGGUGUAGCGUAGUCCGGUCAUCGCGCCUGGUUUGGGACCAGGAAAUCGUAAGUUCAAAUCUUGUUACUCCGA
This 75-nucleotide transfer RNA is filed under the name Candidatus Shikimatogenerans bostrichidophilus. Its description in RNAcentral is "tRNA-Pro". It matches the Rfam family "tRNA". Rfam says of the family: Transfer RNA (tRNA) molecules are approximately 80 nucleotides in length. Their secondary structure includes four short double-helical elements and three loops (D, anti-codon, and T loops). Further hydrogen bonds mediate the characteristic L-shaped molecular structure. tRNAs have two regions of fundamental functional importance: the anti-codon, which is responsible for specific mRNA codon recognition, and the 3' end, to which the tRNAs corresponding amino acid is attached (by aminoacyl-tRNA synthetases). tRNAs cope with the degeneracy of the genetic code in two manners: having more than one tRNA (with a specific anti-codon) for a particular amino acid; and 'wobble' base-pairing, i.e. permitting non-standard base-pairing at the 3rd anti-codon position. Lineage: Bacteria; Pseudomonadati; Bacteroidota; Flavobacteriia; Flavobacteriales. The record is from RNAcentral.